GGCACAAAGAAGCCGCAGGGAGGCUGAAGGAGCUCACUCAGCAGUCUGGAACAGGGACUUGAACUGCAAUGACACUCUUAUUGAGAAAAGGGAAGAAUGGGAAAAACAGAGUCCUUGGUUAAUAGCAUGAUGGAACCCUCUGGUAUGAAGACCCUCUGCCUGCACAAAAGACAUCGGAUUCAGAUCUACAUAGAAACAAAACGACAUGGCACACCAGCAAAACUGAGCCAUUUGGAGCUAUGGCAUAAAAAUCUUCUAUAUCUGAAUAUUUCAUGGCAGAAUGCCGGCGCUUUCCUGUAAACUCGCAGAUAACACGUGCAGAGUACUGUUGAUGGGCAAAGAAAAGGAGGCCAAGAGGCUAACCUAGAAGGACUGGGGAUUUGUAUUUUGGAAGAAGAUCCCAGUGAUUCUUUAAGGAGCAGCAAAUGUUUCAUCCUCGGCAUGCGGCCACGUGUCAUCAGAAAUGGCUAUGCGUGUCAGUGCUGACACGCGUGUCAUAGGUUCGCCAUCACUGCCCUACACUCUUCCUCCAUCCAGAGGAAAAAUGUGA
Molecule: long non-coding RNA, 550 nt
Organism: Eptesicus fuscus (big brown bat)
Lineage: Eukaryota; Metazoa; Chordata; Mammalia; Chiroptera; Vespertilionidae
Exons: 5
Source: RefSeq, a predicted model, not a curated record